This is a long non-coding RNA of Nicotiana attenuata, 2467 nucleotides long. RefSeq lists it as uncharacterized. The record is from RefSeq and is a predicted model, not a curated record. The transcript has 6 exons. Lineage: Eukaryota; Viridiplantae; Streptophyta; Magnoliopsida; Solanales; Solanaceae.
CUCCCUCUAUUAUCUUUUCGUCUUUCUCUUUCCCUUCACGGCCCCCAUUCUUGUCGUUUCUUCUUUGUACCUCCCCGAAGAGGAACAACAAAUUUCACUGAAAAGGUUUCAAAUCAAAGAAACCCCAAUUCUGUUUCUAAAUCAUAGACUGAUGCUAUGAACUCCCAACCUGGUUAUCGUCGUAUUUGGAAGUUCUAAAAGAUUGAUUUAUACUCUCUAACUGUUGAUUUGCAGGUGCCAAAAAUUUAUUAUUGAAUACUUUCUUUAUUUCUUACAUUAAAAUUUCUUGGAAUUUGAAUAUUUAGUUAAUCUUAAGGGGUUAGUUUUCAGUUCACCUGAUCUUCUUCCUUCAUGUUGUUUGGAAUUAUUUAUUUCAGUGUUCGAUUUAUAUUUUUGUCACUUUCUAUGACUUUUCUCUGUUUCUCCAUGUAUUCACCCCUCUUCCCAAAAGGUUAGUUUUUCUUUCUCUUCUCUUCUCCAUCUGGGUGUCUACGUGUUUCUUUUUGCUUUUUUUUCUUAAGAGUUUGUGUUGAAUUCAUUUCAUGUGUAUUUUUUCUCCUUUUUUCUUUUCAGUAAAAGGUUGAAUCGAUGUCAGGUGUAUAGAUUUGCUUGUUGUAUGUAGGUAUUUUUUUUAUUUCUAUAAACCUCGCAAGAGACUUUGCUGGGCAUUGAUAAGCAUAUUAGGAUUUUCGAUAUGGAAAUCGAGUUUUACGUUCUGGGUAUCAUCAAAAUUCAACAAAGCUCAGAAGAAUUGUGCAUUACAGGUUUCAAGUAGAGAUUCUUACACUAAAUUUUCUCGCAGGGUAAGUUGUACAGUUUCUCGAUUGUGAUCUCAAUUAUUGGAAAAGAAAUUACAUUCUUUAACUGUGCUUCAUUCUUUUUAUAAUUUGAUUCUGGGAAUUAAAUUUAUUUUCUUGUAGUUUCUCGAAGGAUCUAAGUCGGUAGUAAAAUGAUCUUCAGGAAGUAAUUUAGCAAAUCCUUGUUCAUCUACAAGAAAUUGUAAAAUAUUUAUCCCUUAAAAUACACCGGAGAUAAAACUAUAGUACUAUCGGAAACUUGUCAAGUGCAUAGAAAAUGCACCAUAGAAAUUUAAAUUUGACGAAAUAAUAAUUAUCAUCACUUCAACUAUAAUAACUGAUCGUGUGAGAGCAUAAUAGCGAAAGGGAAUAAAGGAAAUAAUCGAAAAGGAGUUUAUGUCUAAGGACUGGUUUUGAAGAUAUAAUUUAUAGUAGUGCGAGAUAAUAUCACUACAACAAAAAUGGCCUAAGGUCACACCAAUUUUAGACAACGCUUGAAAAGUGUUGCCAAAAAUAUCUACAGGACGUUUUUUAAGGGGUGGCCUUUAUCGAGCACUUUUGGCCACGGAAUUCUAGCAACGCUUACAAAGUGUUCUUUUUUAUUUUAAAGGCUACGCUUUUCACGUGUUGCCGAUCCAUUAAAUUAAGGCAACGUUUAGUCACAUGUAAUGUAACCCUUUAAGGGAGUGGUUGUUUAUAUUUGCAAUUGCGAUCCUCCAUAAACGUGCUCUAAAGUCCUCUAAAAUUUCCCGUUCAGAUUUCCCUCUAUUUGUUUUUGGCAAAAAGUUACGCUCUAAAAUACUCUAAUUAAAAUAUGCCUGUCAAAUUUACCCACACAACAAGAAGAUCUCGUCCUUCUUCCCUAAGAUCUGGCUCUUCUUGUACCUCUCUGUUCAUUGAGUGACGCGGGGUGAGUUCGGAGGAAAUCGUUGAUGGAAGCGAUAAAAUUCUUCUAAUUUCUCUUCUCAAAUUUCAAAACUUUCUCUUCGUCUGGUUCUGUGGCUAUCAGUUUCAAUUGGGGAUUUCGUUUUUUUAGGGUUUGCAGCCGCUGUUGACCUCCAUUUUUCAAAGACUUACUUCAGUCUAUAUCAGCUAAUUUCAGAGUAGUUCAAUAUUUCGAGACUCGGCUGCAUAUAUUGGAGGCUUAGCACGUGAAUUCCUAAUUUUACACCUCGGGAGUAACUGGUUUGAUAAAUUUUCUCCUACCAAUCUACCAGAUUCUAAAGUUUGCCAUCUCAAAAUUUCUCUUCUCUCAGGAUUUUGUUCUACUAAUUGGGAUAAAAGGGUGCUCUCUUCCAUUCAAAAGAUAUUCCAACAAAAAGGUGCUAGGCAGAAGAAGACGAGUCGUUUGUUCUUGAUUCAGAUUUUCUUGUGCCAAUGAAAGCGAUCCUGCACAGUAUUUCAGCAUACUGUUUCUGCAGAAUAAUUAUGAACAAACUAAAGUAUUCUUGUCCAAACUUUUAGAAGAAAAAGGUUGUUGGUUCUGCAUCCACAUGAAGAAGAGACGCACAUGGACAAAAGUAAUUUGAGAGGUGCUGAGAAGAGAAAUAUACUCUACAAGGUUAGUUAAGCCGAUAUGCUUCCAUCCAAGCAUGCAAUUGUCUAAAAGGCGUUAGUUUAGGUUUCAAGCCAGUAGAAUUCUGAAAUAUGUACUAUUAUGGAACCUGAAA